GGCGGCAUGGCCAAGUGGUAAGGCGGGGGACUGCAAAUCCUUUAUCCCCAGUUCAAAUCCGGGUGUCGCCUGAUCAAUAAA
RNAcentral lists this transfer RNA (81 nucleotides) under Crinum asiaticum var. pedunculatum. RNAcentral describes it as "tRNA-Cys". The stretch from base 1 to 71 matches the Rfam family "tRNA". From Rfam's summary of the family: Transfer RNA (tRNA) molecules are approximately 80 nucleotides in length. Lineage: Eukaryota; Viridiplantae; Streptophyta; Magnoliopsida; Asparagales; Amaryllidaceae. The record is from RNAcentral.